Daucus carota subsp. sativus is the source of this 571-nucleotide long non-coding RNA. RefSeq lists it as uncharacterized. The transcript is spliced from 2 exons. Lineage: Eukaryota; Viridiplantae; Streptophyta; Magnoliopsida; Apiales; Apiaceae. The record is from RefSeq and is a predicted model, not a curated record.
UCUCACAUAAACAAUGUUUGUUACGAUUUCGACAAAACACAACUCGUAAAAUUCUGCACUUUGUUUCGAAGAUAGAUUUUGAUAUCAAUCUUGUUUUGCAUAGAAGGCAGUGAUAAUAUUGGGCUUCUAGGGUUAUUAAAGGAAUUGGGGGAAUUCACCAUCAAGAGCUUGAACGGAAUUAAUGAGUGAAGGUAGGAGGCGAAGUAGCCGUUUGAUUGAAAGCCCCUUGGGUUUCUAAUUUUCUGAAGAAGAGUCCAGUGUUUGUGAAUUUGGAUGACGACUUUGUGACAGAAAGACGGAAAUAGUUGUGGGUUAUAAUAGGUCCUCGGAGAGAGCAAGACAAAAGUAAACAGACGUUAAAUAUUCUUAAGAAGAGCUGAUGAAGUCCUGCAGUUUAGAUGUUCGCAAUGAAAGGGUGUACGACUCUAAAUUUGGAUGAUCUAAAUUGUUCUAGAUUAUUGUUAUAUUUGUUUGUGCACAAAUCUGCACAAGUUCUGUAAUUGUCACGCAACAUGUGUUCCUUUUUUUAAACUAUUAUAAAGUUCAUUGUCAAAGGACUGCGUUUACUAGA